GACGAACGCUGGCGGCGUGCUUAACACAUGCAAGUCGAACGGAAAGGCCCUGCUUUUGUGGGGUGCUCGAGUGGCGAACGGGUGAGUAACACGUGAGUAACCUGCCCUUGACUUUGGGAUAACUUCAGGAAACUGGGGCUAAUACCGGAUAGGAGCUCCUGCUGCAUGGUGGGGGUUGGAAAGUUUCGGCGGUUAGGGAUGGACUCGCGGCUUAUCAGCUUGUUGGUGGGGUAGUGGCUUACCAAGGCUUUGACGGGUAGCCGGCCUGAGAGGGUGACCGGCCACAUUGGGACUGAGAUACGGCCCAGGCUCCUACGGGAGGCAGCAGUGGGGAAUAUUGCACAAUGGGCGGAAGCCUGAUGCAGCAACGCCGCGUGCGGGAUGACGGCCUUCGGGUUGUAAACCGCUUUCGCCUGUGACGAAGCGUGAGUGACGGUAAUGGGUAAAGAAGCACCGGCUAACUACGUG
This 468-nucleotide ribosomal RNA is filed under the name uncultured bacterium. Its description in RNAcentral is "partial 16S ribosomal RNA". It matches the Rfam family "Bacterial small subunit ribosomal RNA", at positions 28 to 507 of the family's 1533-position model. The record is from RNAcentral.